CCUACGGGCGGCAGCAGUGAGGAAUAUUGGUCAAUGGGCGGAAGCCUGAACCAGCCAAGUCGCGUGAGGGAUUAAGGCCCUACGGGUUGUAAACCUCUUUUGCCGGGGAGCAACGGGCGCCACGUGUGGCGUCACUGAGAGUACCCGGAGAAAAAGCAUCGGCUAACUCCGUGCCAGCAGCCGCGGUAAUACGGAGGAUGCGAGCGUUAUCCGGAUUCAUUGGGUUUAAAGGGUGCGUAGGCGGAUCGUUAAGUCAGUGGUCAAAUUGAGGGGCUCAACCCCUUCCCGCCAUUGAAACUGGCGUUCUGGAGUGGAAGAGAAGUAUGCGGAAUGCGUGGUGUAGCGGUGAAAUGCAUAGAUAUCACGCAGAACCCCGAUUGCGAAGGCAGCAUGCCGGCUUCCGACUGACGCUGAGGCACGAAAGCGUGGGGAUCGAACAGGAUUAGAUACCCUAGUAGUC
RNAcentral lists this ribosomal RNA (460 nucleotides) under uncultured bacterium. Its description in RNAcentral is "partial 16S ribosomal RNA". It matches the Rfam family "Bacterial small subunit ribosomal RNA", at positions 338 to 795 of the family's 1533-position model. The record is from RNAcentral.